ACGGUUUGCCGGGGACCUCCUCCUCCCAAUCCCCGGUGAAAAGAGGCCUGCACCUCCUCCCAAAUCGCAGGCUUCGAACUUACGGCGCUCGUCGGCACCUCCUCCCGCCGAUGAGCGCCGACA
Fulvimarina manganoxydans is the source of this 123-nucleotide small RNA. It matches the Rfam family "Alphaproteobacterial ar14". From Rfam's summary of the family: Smr14C2 was renamed NfeR1 (Nodule Formation Efficiency RNA) highly expressed in salt stress and during the symbiotic interaction on legume roots. The record is from Rfam. NCBI's taxonomy places the organism in Bacteria, Pseudomonadati, Pseudomonadota, Alphaproteobacteria, Hyphomicrobiales, Aurantimonadaceae.